RNAcentral lists this ribosomal RNA (459 nucleotides) under uncultured bacterium. RNAcentral's name for it is "partial 16S ribosomal RNA". It matches the Rfam family "Bacterial small subunit ribosomal RNA", at positions 338 to 795 of the family's 1533-position model. The record is from RNAcentral.
CCUACGGUGUGCAGCAGUGAGGAAUAUUGGUCAAUGUGAGAGAUCCUGAACCAGCCAAGCCGCGUGAGGGAAGACGGCCCUAUGGGUUGUAAACCUCUUUUGUCGGAGAACAAAACCCGGGACGUGUCCCGGACUUCGUGUAUCCGAAGAAAAAGCAUCGGCUAACUCCGUGCCAGCAGCCGCGGUAAUACGGUGGAUGCGAGCGUUAUCCGGAUUUAUGGGGUUUAAAGGGUUCGUAGGCGGUCCGUUAAGUCAGCGGUAAAAUUGCGGGGCUAAACGCCGUCCAGCCGUUGAAACUGGCAGACUUGAGUUGGCGAGAAGUACGCGGAAUGCGCGGUGUAGCUGUGAAAUGCAUAGAUAUCGCGCAGAACUCCGAUUGCGAAGGCAGCGUACCGGCGCCAGAUUGACGCUGAGGCACGAAAGCGUGGGGAUCGAACAGGAUUAGAUACCCGAGUAGUC